AGGACGAACGCUGGCGGCGUGCUUAACACAUGCAAGUCGAGCGGUAAGGCCUUUCGGGGUACACGAGCGGCGAACGGGUGAGUAACACGUGGGUGAUCUGCCCUGCACUUCGGGAUAAGCCUGGGAAACUGGGUCUAAUACCGGAUAUGCCUCCGAUCGCAUGGUUGGUGGUGGAAAGAUUUAUCGGUGCAGGAUGGGCCCGCGGCCUAUCAGCUUGUUGGUGGGGUAAUGGCCUACCAAGGCGACGACGGGUAGCCGACCUGAGAGGGUGACCGGCCACACUGGGACUGAGACACGGCCCAGACUCCUACGGGAGGCAGCAGUGGGGAAUAUUGCACAAUGGGCGAAAGCCUGAUGCAGCGACGCCGCGUGAGGAUGACGGCCUUCGGUUGUAAACCUCUUCAGCAGGACGAAGACGCAACGUGACGGUACCUGCAGAAGAAGCACCGGCUAACUACGUAGCCAAGCCAGCCGAC
This 476-nucleotide ribosomal RNA is filed under the name uncultured soil bacterium. RNAcentral's name for it is "bacterial SSU rRNA". It matches the Rfam family "Bacterial small subunit ribosomal RNA", at positions 26 to 516 of the family's 1533-position model. The record is from RNAcentral.